This is a long non-coding RNA of Daphnia pulicaria, 187 nucleotides long. RefSeq lists it as uncharacterized. The record is from RefSeq and is a predicted model, not a curated record. Lineage: Eukaryota; Metazoa; Arthropoda; Branchiopoda; Diplostraca; Daphniidae. The transcript is spliced from 3 exons.
AAGCAAGUUUCUCAGGAACCUAUUCAUGAAGCCCCAGCACAUAAAGGAACUAAUGGGAAAGCUGUUAAGGAUGAUCAUUUCUUUGAUGAAGUUGCAGAUGAUGCCAAGAAAAUCGCAAGCAAGGAAAAAAGAAAGCUUAAGUGUCAAAGAAAAAAAAUUAAAAAGCAUCUCUUCAAGUCGAACAACC